RNAcentral lists this ribosomal RNA (253 nucleotides) under uncultured bacterium. RNAcentral describes it as "partial 16S ribosomal RNA". It matches the Rfam family "Bacterial small subunit ribosomal RNA", at positions 524 to 776 of the family's 1533-position model. The record is from RNAcentral.
UACGUAGGGGGCAAGCGUUGUCCGGAAUCAUUGGGCGUAAAGAGCGUGUAGGCGGCCCGGUAAGUCCGCUGUGAAAGUCCAGGGCUCAACCCUGGGAUGCCGGUGGAUACUGUCGGGCUCGAGUCCGGAAGAGGAGUGUGGAAUUCCUGGUGUAGCGGUGAAAUGCGCAGAUAUCAGGAGGGACACCAAUGGCGAAGGCAGCACUCUGGGACGUGACUGACGCUGAGACGCGAAAGCGUGGGGAGCAAACAGG